UUUUGUCAACGAACUCACUGGAUUAUCUAUCCCUGCUAAGGCCUCUUAGGGGCUCAGGGAUGUUUGAGGUUUUGAAUUUCCAGCUUUUAAGGUUUCCAGUAUUUGAAAAUAGAAAGAAACACUAAAUGGGUCUUAAAAAAACUUAUGUGUUAAAUAUUCAAUCCACUUGGAGUAUUUUCAGAAUCGUGUGAUAUCCCUUGAGAGAAAUGGCAACAUGUUAAGACAAAGUGGGGGGCCCUGUGAAUGGGAAGUUGGGCCAAGCAACUACUCUGUCCUCAGCAUCAUAUUCUUUGCCCCUCUCCUGUAGGCUGUGGCCCCCAGUCUUGACUCUACGGUGAAAUGCUGGGCACUUGGAUAUCACCCAACCGAGAGAGGGCAAAGGACCAGCUUGUUCUCUCUGCAGCUAGACGAGCUGUACCCGCUGCAGGCAAACAACCAGCAUUUGUCAGCAAGCUGCACCAACAAGAUGCAGAAGAGAGAGCCCAAGCAGAGGAGGGCAGCUCAGACGCACGUGGUGCCAAGCCCCCCUCAGGGGACUGAUGGAUUAAACUGCAGGGCUUCCCUGCAGGGCAGUGGUCUUUGGCUGCUAAAAAGGUCCUGGUGUAUCUCACCGAGAGGCAAGUUCACCGUAUGUUCUGAAGUAGCAAAACAGGGGAGAACAAAGGCCUUAUUUGUGUGUAUGGGUCUGUGCAGACGUGAUUAAGGAUGUCGAGAUGGCCUCAUGAUACCCCAGGUGGGCCCGAAGCGCAACGAUAAAUGUCCUUAUAAGAAAAAGGCCGAGAGAGAUUUGAGACACACAGAGCAGGUCAUGUGAAGAGGGAUGCAGAGGCGGGUACGAUGAACACCACAGCCACCAGCCUCUGGAAGAAGCACGAAGCGGAUUCUCCCUUCGAGUCUCUGUGGGGAGCACCGCCCGGGCCACACCUUGACUUCAGAC
This is a long non-coding RNA of Mirounga angustirostris (Northern elephant seal), 937 nucleotides long. RefSeq lists it as uncharacterized. Lineage: Eukaryota; Metazoa; Chordata; Mammalia; Carnivora; Phocidae. The record is from RefSeq and is a predicted model, not a curated record. The transcript has 5 exons.